UUGAAGAAAGCCGUUUUCUCAUUUCCGUCUCUCUUUGUAUCCUCAUCUUCUGAUUUUGAUGCUCAACCUAAAGAGAUUUAAUGAGAAGGCCAAGUAAUGGUUUUGUUACCUCUUCUUCAUAGGUCGAUAGGGACUCUCAAGCCAUCAUGCGCAAGUUUUACCGAGAUCCCUUCCCUAACAAAACCAAACAUUGCAACAAAUAAAUAAGAUUACACCUCUCUCUCUUUCUGUGUAUGGUUUCUUCUGAUACAGUUUUCUACCUUUUAGACCAUUCAUCAAGAAACUCAUUGUCCUUGUGGUGAUCAAACUCGUGAGUCAUUCCAAUUAGAAGAGCCCUUUUUGGACACAGUCUUUUGAUCGUCUCUAGUGUCUAUAUGAAAACAAGAGUAAGCAUACAUGAAAAAUAAAAAAGAAGAAAAAGAAAACACCUUCAAAUUAAGCUAACCUGCGGGAAACAUAAGUGGGUGUUGUGGGAUCCUGUCUACAGUCACGAUAAAAGAAAGAAAGUGAAAACAUCAGAAAAAUGAAAACAAACAAACUUUAAUACAUAAGGAUGAUCUGUGUUACCUUAUAUAAUGUAUCCAAGAUAAGGAGAUCCAAUUGUCCACCACCAGAUUUUGAUAUGACUGUAUAAUCCAAAGGCAUAUAGAGUCUAAGUUAUCUUCAUUGAGAGUAUCAAUAACACACUAAGCACUUUGUUACACACACUUACCAUACUCAGUGCUUGGUGGAAAGCGUGAUACAUCAGAUAUAUACGCCACUCUUGAUUUUUCUCCAAAAAGAAAACCAAGGCAGACAUAGUCUUCUCCAUGCAUCACCUAAGAGGCAUAAACAAGAUUUGAGUCUCCGGAUAGAUCAAGCAAGGAAGACAUGAAUCACUAUUUCUAACAGAGGCUUUGAGAAACUCACUGGAAGUGGCGUGAAUGAUAAGUCUGAAGCUACAAAUGGCUUCUCACAAUCUUCUUCGAUUAGUCUCCAGUCCAGCUGUGUAACCCGCCUAACUUCUUGGCCUUCUUUAAGUUUCUUCUGAACCAGAUACGGGAACUUCACAGCAAGACUGUUAUGAAGAAAGAAAAGCAGGCAAUUGUCGCAACUACAGCUUUCAAAGUCUAGAAGGUCAAACUGAAAAUUUGCAAAGACCAUUAUUAUUACCUGUCCAUAGCAAAUUGGCUUACGAAAAUUGGAGUAGGAUCUAUAUCAUUGGUAGGACUAAAUGGUUGCACGGAGCGUAUAUCAUCCAGGCCAAGUACUGCAUCAGCAUGCUCAUGGGUUAAAAUGAUCUGCAGGUCAUGUAAAAAAAAAAUUAGUCCUUACAUGCAUGCACUCGAGAAUUGUAAUUCAAGACUUAAAAAUUUGCCUCAUGUUAGCUUUCUUCAUACAUUAUCUCAGGCAUGUUAGAUCCUUUUCUAGGCACGAAACACAAUAUUCAUACACGACUUACAGAAUCAACUUGUGGAAUAUUGUGAAGAGUGAACCAACGAAGGACUUGUUCUCUGAACGUCUUGCCAACGUCGAUUUGAAUGUAUUUAUGUUUGCCAUCACUUUGGCAAUAAUCAAUUAGAAGUGAAGUGUUUCCCCUGCCAAAACAAAAAGGACAUAACUCUUGCACUGAAAAGACAAUCUCGAGUCUAGAAUAGGGAGGAAUCAGCUAUAAGAUGGAUCAUCAGAAUCAAGCGCCACACACAAUCUUAAAAGUAGGACGCAAAGCUAGACUAAUUGAAUCAAAGGAACAUAACUAAUGUGAUCACCGACAUGCAGAAGCAAAAAAAAACUAAGAUAGCAACUCCACACUCGAGAAUGUUUGUACCUGUAAUUAGGGUUUCUCUCUGGCGGGAUCGAGAGAGACUGCGAGCAGACGUAGCAGGGAGGAUCUGAUUUCUGGAUCAAACACAUUGCGUUAGGGACCGCGCUGGAACAUCCCGUUCCCAGGAAUAUCAGAGACGAUCCCUCGCCACCGUUCUCAGUCGCAACCGAACCGUUCAUCAUCGGACUAUGUAUGUUUCCUGUGAGGAUAUGGCAAAGGAAAAGACUCGAUAGUAAUAAUAAAAAGAGGUAACAGAAGAAGAAGGGUACGUUGUCGACGACGCAAAGAGGGAGGAGAUGAACAUCAAAUAUAUUAUUUUAUAUACUAACGGUUACGUUUGUCACGUGGCGCACUCUUGACGGCUCUCAAUGUAACUCCUGCUCCUGGUGGUUGUGGGAAAUUGGAGGAUAGCUUAUUCUUUCUUUUUUCGUUCAACAACAAGGAUGUUAUAUUUCUUUUCAUAUAGAAAAACUUUUAUCUUUUCAAAUAAAUCUUGACAAAUUUUCCUUACUUUUAUUUGUUUUUCUGACUAAAAUUUAUUGUAUGAUUUGUUAACACAUUUGGAUUUUUAAGACUUUUUAGCUCUAUUGUUUACCUACUACUUAAAUUGAUAAAUUUAAUUAAAUUUGACAUAAAAAAAAAAAGAGAGCUCAGUAAAUGGCAAUUUCAUCAGGGAAAUCAGAUUUAUGCGAUGGACCCAACCUUCGCUGAACCAAUUUUUCUUCAAAGCUCAUGCACCAGCCGGUAAUCGAACCCGGGUCUGUACCGUGGCAGGGUACUAUUCUACCACUAGACCACUGGUGCUUCUUUGUUAUACAUCACUAUAUAAAUGUAAAGUCCAUACAUUCUAUUUAUUUUUCCCAACACCUUCUCGUGGUCACACCCUAAUGAUGAUUCAAGUUCCAACUUUCAAAAUCGCAUCCUGUCCGUUACUUUGCUCUGUGAAGAACACUACUCGUUUCCGUUUGUCUAAUUGAUGUUGAAUCUAAGGCUAACUCGCAUUCUUCGUCGACCCUUAAUCCGAUUCUCAGCUUCUCCAAUCUCCAACGGCGAAACUGACGCAUCUAUCUCCACAUUUUCGUCGGAAACUCCUGCCUUCAAUCAUGGCCCAUUGAGAGAAGGAGUUUGUCAUGGCGAAGAUGACCACCUGUCAGGAGAAGUAACGCAAUUGGGUUUCGGAAAGUCGCCGCCUUUGAAUGUCAGUGAAGCUGAAUUUGCGAUUUUUUUUUGAGACGGCGGAGUCUCCAAGAGGAGACCUUGUCUACAGAUUACAAAAUGUCUAAAUUCGAGUCCAAUUCAAGCCUUUAAAUAAUUAAAACACAUGACCACAUUCGAAACCCAUUUUAAACUUUCUCAGAAUAUAAAUGAACGCAGAGUUAAUGAAACACAUAGUUUUAUUAUAAGAGGACACAUGUCGGCUUCUCAAAAUUUGACUUAAUGACGUGGAUGCUGAGGUGGCUUCACCAGGAGGGAGUAAACCCUACUUUAUAUAUAAAGAUUAUUUUAACAAGUAUAUCAGGAAAAAUGCAAAAAGAUAAUAAAGCAAAGGGUUUAAAUGCUAAACUAUAAUUUGGCAAAGACACAAAGAUCCCAACUUAAGAUUAAAGGUUAAAACAACAACAAUUAACAAAAAAAGAAGGUUUUAGUGCAUCUUGAAGAAAGCCGUUUUCUCAUUUCCGUCUCUCUUUGUAUCCUCAUCUUCUGAUUUUGAUGCUCAACCUAAAGAGAUUUAAUGAGAAGGCCAAGUAAUGGUUUUGUUACCUCUUCUUCAUAGGUCGAUAGGGACUCUCAAGCCAUCAUGCGCAAGUUUUACCGAGAUCCCUUCCCUAACAAAACCAAACAUUGCAACAAAUAAAUAAGAUUACACCUCUCUCUCUUUCUGUGUAUGGUUUCUU
This 3699-nucleotide long non-coding RNA is filed under the name Brassica napus (rape). RNAcentral describes it as "long non-coding RNA (BNAP_LNC020900)". Lineage: Eukaryota; Viridiplantae; Streptophyta; Magnoliopsida; Brassicales; Brassicaceae. The record is from RNAcentral.